Molecule: non-coding RNA, 1614 nt
Organism: Biomphalaria pfeifferi
Lineage: Eukaryota; Metazoa; Mollusca; Gastropoda; Planorbidae
Source: the annotation of a GenBank genome assembly
UUUAUAAAAGCCAGCACAUAGUAUUUAUUGCUAGUAUUUGUAACAAAGUUUCAUUUCACAUGUAUGAUUUUUUUUUUUACCGAUUUCUGAAAAAAAAAACUAGACAGCUGCUUAUUUAGACCUUUUAUAUUUUUUUCAUAAAAAUUUAAUUAUUUUGUUUUUAAUGCAAAUAUUAAGAACAAAACUGAAAUGAGAUUAUAACACAAGUUCUAAUUUAUGUUCCUUAACAAUAAUGGUGCAGACUUAUGAAACUAAUCCUGAAUAUAUCUUCAGUGAUGACAAAAAAUGUCAACACUGUAUAACCAAUAAAAAAAAAAUUGAAUCUAACCAUUUAUAGAUCAACUUUAAUUAAGCAUUAUAAAUUAUUGGAGACAUCUUGUUUUCUUUUUAAUACCGGUAAUACAAAAUGUAAAGUAUGGAAUGUAGAAAAUCAUUUAAAAAAACAAGUAUAAAGCUGACAAAUUGCUUGAACAAUAUUCUUUGUAUAAUCUUAACAGAUAGUUCAGUUUGUGUUGCUGAUCAAGUGUGGUCCAUAUAUUGUGGUUACUUUUUUUUUACUGGUACAUUUCCACCAAGCUAAGAAUAAAGAAAGUUUUUACAUUUAGAUCUAGGUUUAGAACUCAGGAUAGAUAAUUAGGAACAUCACAGCACUCACCACUUUCAUGCUUUACUACUUCAUCCAGUCCAUUCAUUCUUUGCAUACAGAUCAGAUAAUUACAAUACAAUUGACAUAGCCACAUGGCACUAGAAAUCAUUAUUCAAUAUAGAAUAUAUUGACAUCAAAUAAAAAACGAACAGUUUGAAUUCCGUUAUUUUUCUAAAGCAGUAGUUGUUUUUCUAUUUUUAUUUAUAACUUUGAUGCCAAUGGUUUCAAUGACUUUAUUUCUUUAAAAAAAAUAUUUUUUCUUGCAAUGAAGAAUUAUAAUUAAUAUUUUCUAAAAAAUUGAUUUAAAAUUAUUCAAAGUGCAGUAGUUAAUGCAUUACAAGUGGCUACUUAAUAAAACAGUGCUGCAAAAACUAUUGCUGUUUUUCCUUAAUGGUAUUUCCAUGUCCAAGACACAUAUUAUUAGCAAAGUCAUGUUUAAAAAAAUUGUACAUUUUACUUUGUGGGUUUAUUUUUGAAAAUUUGGAUAGGUUACAUUUUUUUCUAAGAACAUCAAAUGUGAUUUAUAUUUAACAUAUUUUAGCAGUAAAAUACUAUUAGUAGUUGGCAAAUUUUACUUUUAUUUUACAAUGUAUUUGUUUUACUUUUGACACAGAGAAAAGCUUAUAACUUUGAGGUUAGCAAAAAAUUUGGUUUCAAAUAAUUUUGUACUGUUAUUACUAAAAUUUAGGUAGACACUUAAAAACUUUGUAUUUUAUAUUGCCCAAAACAUUUGCUCAAAUUAACUAGUUGAAAUAGUGAUAUUCUUUCUCCUUAUAUAUAUAACAUAUCAUUUACAAAAUUAAUACCUGCAGUUUUUUAGAUUUAUUGAUUUCAUUUGUCAUUAGCAUCUCCUUUGGAGAUGAUGUCAAUUACAAUCACAUUUAAACCUGGAUCAGACUUCAACACAUUGUACUAGGAACUGUUGUUCAUAUGUUGGGUUUUUUAUUAAAUACAAAAAAAAAAAAAAG